UGGGGAAUUUUGGACAAUGGGCGCAAGCCUGAUCCAGCAAUGCCGCGUGCAGGACGAAGGCCUUCGGGUUGUAAACUGCUUUUGUACGGAGCGAAAAGGCUCUCUCUAAUACAGGGGGCUCAUGACGGUACCGUAAGAAUAAGCACCGGCUAACUACGUGCCAGCAGCCGCGGUAAUACGUAGGGUGCAAGCGUUAAUCGGAAUUACUGGGCGUAAAGCGUGCGCAGGCGGUUAUGUAAGACAGAGGUGAAAUCCCCGGGCUCAACCUGGGAACUGCCUUUGUGACUGCAUAGCUAGAGUACGGCAGAGGGGGAUGGAAUUCCGCGUGUAGCAGUGAAAUGCGUAGAUAUGCGGAGGAACACCGAUGGCGAAGGCAAUCCCCUGGGCCUGUACUGACGCUCAUGCACGAAAGCGUGGGGAGCAAACAGGAUUAGAUACCCUGGUAGUCCACGCCCUAAACGAUGUCAACUGGUUGUUGGGUCUUCACUGACUCAGUAACGAAGCUAACGCGUGAAGUUGACCGCCUGGGGAGUACGGCCGCAAGGUUG
This 548-nucleotide ribosomal RNA is filed under the name uncultured Pseudomonadota bacterium. RNAcentral's name for it is "bacterial SSU rRNA". It matches the Rfam family "Bacterial small subunit ribosomal RNA", at positions 355 to 896 of the family's 1533-position model. The record is from RNAcentral. Lineage: Bacteria; Pseudomonadati; Pseudomonadota.